RNAcentral lists this long non-coding RNA (201 nucleotides) under Medicago truncatula (barrel medic). RNAcentral's name for it is "long non-coding RNA (MTRU_LNC003880)". The record is from RNAcentral. Lineage: Eukaryota; Viridiplantae; Streptophyta; Magnoliopsida; Fabales; Fabaceae.
UUAACUAACUGGUGUGAAGAUUUCAAAGAAGUUCUUUUCUUCCUUUUCAUUGGAUUUUGGAAGAGUUUCUCUGGUGGUAAAUUUUCCGGCGAAGAUUUUCUUUUCCGUUUAAUUGGCAGGGAAUGGUCUGAGCACCGCCGACGCCGGUGGGAAAGGAAAUAGAAGAUAUGAGAAACCAUGGCGCUGGUUUUAGGGUUUCAG